Long non-coding RNA from Notothenia coriiceps (black rockcod), 421 nucleotides. RefSeq lists it as uncharacterized. The record is from RefSeq and is a predicted model, not a curated record. NCBI's taxonomy places the organism in Eukaryota, Metazoa, Chordata, Actinopteri, Perciformes, Nototheniidae. The transcript has 5 exons.
UCCUGGGUCAAGUAUGCUUCAUUAUCACUUCAGACCUUUACGUUUGCUAUGGGAGAAGAGGUCUUUACCCACUGCAAACUUUUGGCUUGGGAUCCCAAUGGUCUUGACAGCACUAAGAAAGCCUGCCACUUUGUCGAAGGGCAUGGUUGGGAGUUGCUGGACAACUUGGCCCAGAGCAAUCUUUGUGACUGCUGUGAAUCGAAAUGCAAGUCAAGGAGGCAGAGGAGUGUAGCGUCAGAGAACCAUGGAAUGGUACAAAAAGCAGUCAUAGGGCCAUUUACCAUCACAGAUAUGAAUUCCUGAAGGAAUGGAUCCAUUUCGCUGACUGGUUUCUUCAAUCUGAAUUUGGUUUUUAUUCUUGGUUCUCUUUGCAUUUCAGAUUGUAUGUGGCCAAUAAAAAUUAAAAAAAGUUUCGGAACCA